Long non-coding RNA from Onychostoma macrolepis, 4469 nucleotides. RefSeq lists it as uncharacterized. Lineage: Eukaryota; Metazoa; Chordata; Actinopteri; Cypriniformes; Cyprinidae. The transcript has 3 exons. The record is from RefSeq and is a predicted model, not a curated record.
ACACACAGAGAGAGAAAGAGAUUUAAACUGUAUAUAUUGUUGCUUUGUCUUUUACAAUAUUCCAUCAGUCUGUUAACUAAAAUGUCAUGCCAAUAAAACGCAAUGAAUUAAGACAGAUUAAAAAAAGCUUUCAUUUUAAUGUUUGGAAUCACAGAGGUCAAUACCAUAAUAACUAGGUAGAAAAGUAUACAGUAUGAAUGUGUGAAUCUCUUGAGCUGAGGGGAAAUUCACUCUGAGGUUGUGUCGGAGCAGGCGCUGUGGAGCGCUUUAAUUGAAUUGUGGCUUCAUUUCAGUAUCUUCUGGGGUUAGCGCUAGUCUAGUGACUGAUAAUUAACUAUUCCCUCUCUCGCCAUAAUUAGCUGACCACAUUUCAAAAGAAAAGCCCCACUGCUCCUAUUACGAGCUCCCAGAGCUAAACGAGUGAAAGAGGCAGGAGAGAUCAAUGUAAAGAGUGACAAAUAAACAAAGAAAGGGCCACACGACCACAGGAGAUAAUAAAAAGCAGGUGAACAACUUUAGCUAAAGGCUAACGCUAAUAGUCAAAAGGUCGAAAAAUUUAGACAAAUUAUUAUUCCAUAUGAAGUUUACAGAUCUCAAAACUGACUAUUUACUUUCUAAAUAAAAUAAUGGUCAGUCAAUUAAGAAUAAUUCAUAAUCUCACAUGAAAAUAUACUGAAACUUGUCUUUUCCCAACGCUGAAACAACGUUGAAACAAUGUUUAAUGCGUAACGGUUGAAAACCAACUGGUACAUGACCAACCUUCAACGUUGAAAUAUGGUUGAAAUAAUGACAGUUGUUGUUUCAAUGUUGAAACUACGUUAAAAUAAUGUUUAAUGCUAAAUGGUUGAAAAAGGGUAAUAAAAACACUUAUAAAUCAACUUUGAUUUUUUUUUUUUUUACAAGAUCUGUAUGUUGAAUCACUUAAUGUAUGUACAGAAUAAAUAAUUUCUGCCUUUUUAAAUUAUUAUUAAGAUCGCUAUUAUUAUUUUAUUAUCAUUUUACAUUUUUAUCAUGAAACCUUCUGGUAUAACUAUUAUCAACAACAAAACACAUUGGGCUGAUUUACCACGCUGAAACAAUUCCUAUUGGUUAUUUAACCUUAUUUGCUUUGAUCAUGAUUGGUUAAUCUGGCUGUCAUUCAUGAAACUGGCCAAUGAAACUGUGCACGCCAUUUUAAGUUUGAAAAUAUGACCGUUAUCACAGUUGCCAAGUCCACGUAUUAUACACAACUUUGGGCUUCUUUUUUUGUAAAGUUGCGGGAAAAAAUCCCUGGUCGCGGGUUGAGGUUUUUUGGGCUUAUUUAAAAAAACAUGGUUGCUUGUUUGGGAAAUCUGACAAGCAACUUCUUUAUUUAUUUAUGUUCGCCGUAUUCUCCAGUGCAUUGAUUGACACUCUGUCUGCUCGCAGUUAAUAGCCAACCAGUGCAAUAUAAGUGCUGUAGCAUAAUUUGCCAAAUGUUCCGCCCCUCAUUGGAGAAAAAUCACAUUCAAAAAGAAGCGCGUGACGCUGUAAUCCAAGCGAUGACAGAAGUAGACGUAGAAGAGUGGGAUGACUUUCUUUUAGCUUAAUUUUUAUAAUGUUUUUGUAAUGUAUUAAAUAUCACGGGCUGUAAUAAAAAACAAGUAGUCAUAUCCUAAUACUGAGUAAAUACAUUUGGUUCGAAUAGCCUGGUAUGGCAAGAUGUCUUAAAAUGUAUUUCUUUUUUUAACAUUUAAAUUUAGACCACAUUACGGCUCCCCUUUGAAGCUCUUGUGCUUUUCUCCUUUUCCAUCUCUCCAAUCCUAUUCUGCUCACAGGUGAUUGGAGACGAGUUUUGUUCCCACUUUUGUUGCAGUUUGCUAAUUUUUGUAAAAUAGCUUCUGUUUUUGCUUUUCAGAUAAAAUACUGGUUUCAGUGUAAUAUGUUGCAGGCUCAUUUAUUGGUAAUAAAUCAUUGAUAAAUAAUAUUGAUGAUGAUAAAUCAUCAAAAAAAAAUAUUGGGCUUGUUUUGGGCUUGUUUUUGAAGCUGCAGUUGCUUAUUUGUCUCGCGAGAGUUGGCAACUGUGACCGUUAUCCUGACCGUCUUUCUGAGUGAGGUCGCUGUGAGUGAGAGAGCUGCUGCGCAAUAAAACUGCUAACGUUAGGUCGGUCCCGAAUUAUUGUAUAAUUAUUGUAUAAAAACGUUUACGCUAUUAUUAUAUUAUAGAUCCUAUAUUCUCAUUCAAUUUAGGUCUACUAUCCACUUAAACAAUAUGUCAUCAAGUUUCUAAUUUUAUGUACCGGUUCUAUUUAUGUAAACCCUGCGUAACUUUCAUGUGUUUGAUGGGCGCGCGCGUUGAACAUUCGAGGCGCUUUUAAACUGGAGUGGAGGGAGUUUCCAUGGAAACGGGUUGGCAACUCAGCUGACAAGUAGCAAAAAAAAACUCCGUCUCUCACUGUUGUUUUUACUGCUUUCAGGUAAGUUUAGUCCCUAAAAUUACACAAAUAAUACAUACAACUGUUCCUGACACUUUCUUAUAUGUAAUUGACACGCUUCUGUUGAAUAUUUACUUUACAGAAAUGGUUCAGUGUCAUCGGAAAAAGUCCGUUAGCAUCACAACCGUGAGCUAACUAUAGAGGCUAACUAUAAGAGGGCUGUUUGUGAAGACAGAAAAUCAAGAGAUGUUGUGACAACCUGGACAGAAUUCAGCUCCAGAUCCACCCUCCACACCAGACUUCUCACUCACAAGGACUGCUGUCUACUAGCAUAUUAUGUGUUCUCUUCAGAGUUAGGUGCAGUCGGGCCUGGAUGUAGCCUCGCGUCUCCUGAAAGGCUUGUCUCUGAGAGACCUCUGCUGGGUAGUGGGUGCAGAUCCCAAUGAUGUUGGUGCACAGGAAGAUCAGCACGUUUGCACUCAGCUGAGAGAAAAAAGAAAAGCAGACUCAUUUAAUGUCUCUCUAGUGAUCAGUGGGACCUUUCAACAAAAACGGCUUUAGCUCAGCGCUCUGGAAUCCUGGGACAUCUGUUGUACUCUAGGGCUUUACUCGACUGCAGUAUGGGAAAAAAAGCCAACCUCUGACCCGGAGAGGCUACUUCCUGUAGAGGAGUUUACAAUAGGGGAGCCGGAAUGGAGCUAAAAAUGGAGCCUGAAGCAGAGCCAACACUGUAACUUCCUUUGGGUGAAUGAGACGAGAGGAGGGGGUAUGGGAGAGUGAUGGGGGUUACUUCAGGUCACGCGGUUCACACCAUUACACUUGGCUGAAACACUGCACAAUCACUAUGAAACACUUGUUGGCCUAUUUCCUAAAAAGCUUAUCUUAAAAUAUAUGCUAAAUAAUUACCAGAUUAGACAUUAUGUGGCUGUUGAGAAGCCAUUCGUGGCUAUGCGAAGCUAUGAGAAAAUAUAACCAAAAUUAAUAUUGCUAAAGCAGAUUCCAUACAGUUCAGAUAUUUUAUUGCAUGAAGGGCUGGGCAAUAUGUUAAAAAAAUUAUAUCUUGUUACUUUUUCAACUAUGUAACAAUAUUUUAUUUGAAAAAUGUCUUGAUGUAUACUGAAAUGGCUUCAAAAAUUAUGUUUUUUUGUUUGUUUGACAUAAUGUAACCAUCAAAAUUUUAAAUGUUUAACACAAGAAGUUAAAUUAAAGAAGGUAUAAAAAUCUAUAAAUAGAGAAAAAUAUAAAAUAAAUGUGAAAUGCAGCAAAAUCUACUUAAGAUAAGAUCUACUUUAGAUUAAGCUAAUAACAGAGGCAUGUUCAGAAAUAUUCAGGUCUGUGGAUUUCUUGAAAUAAGUCUCUUAUAUUUACCAAGGCUGCAUUUAUUUGAUUAAGAAUACAGUGAAAUGUGAAAGAUUAUUACAAAUGAAAAUAACUGUUUUCUAUUUGAAUAUAUUGUAAAAUGUAAUUUAUUCCUGUGAUGUAAAGCUGAAUUUUCAGCAGCAAUAACAGCAGUCUUCAGUGUCACAUGAUCACUCAGAAAUGAUCUGAAUACGGUGAUUUGGUUUCUUAUUGUCUAUAAGGAAUAAAAAGAUCAAAAGACAAGCAUUUACUUGAAAUGUAAAACUUGUAACAUUAUAAAUGUUUUUUACUGUCACUUUUGAUUAAUUUGAUGAUUUUAUUUAAUUCCCAAACUUAUAAAAUAAUAAAAUAAAAAAUAAUCAUGGUAAUCAUUUGAAACAGGGGCAAACCUAAGAAAUGAUAAAAAAUAUAUAAAUUAAAUUAAACGUUUUAAUGAUCAAACUGGUAUUAAAUACAUUGUACAUAUUCAAUGUAUCACCUAGUCUUACACCAAAAUAAUAACAAACAUGCCCGUCAGCUGAAAUAAAACAACAAUAACAGAUGCAAUGUAACGUAACUACAGAGGGACUCAGUUUGGAGUUGUUCAGUCCAUAACUCUGUAUUUUAGGAGCGUGAGCGCAGUCUGAGGUCAAUCGCCGCUAAAUUAAGAGCUAACAAUGGUGGAAAAGUAAUCAGUCAAUAAGCCUUCUUCCACUCUCAUCGACCAAUCAAUGCCCA